Molecule: ribosomal RNA, 154 nt
Filed under: Hydnum sp. FRI62832
Lineage: Eukaryota; Fungi; Basidiomycota; Agaricomycetes; Cantharellales; Hydnaceae
Description: 5.8S ribosomal RNA
Rfam family: 5.8S ribosomal RNA
About the family: 5.8S ribosomal RNA (5.8S rRNA) is a component of the large subunit of the eukaryotic ribosome. It is transcribed by RNA polymerase I as part of the 45S precursor that also contains 18S and 28S rRNA.
Source: RNAcentral
ACAACUUUUAACAAUGGAUCUCUUGGCUCUUGCAUCGAUGAAGAACGCAGCGAAAUGCGAUAAGUAAUGUGAAUUGCAGAAUUCAGUGAAUCAUCGAAUCUUUGAACGCACCUUGCGCUCUCUGGUAUUCCGGGGAGCACACCUGUUCGAGUGU